RNA transcript from Homo sapiens (human), 884 nucleotides. It is a transcript of the gene named GUSB pseudogene 16, with no coding region annotated. The record is from RefSeq and is marked validated. Lineage: Eukaryota; Metazoa; Chordata; Mammalia; Primates; Hominidae.
GGCUCCCGCGCGCCACCCCGAGGGGACGGGCGCCACCUCCUGCUACGCGGCACCCGGUCCCGUCAACCGCCCAACGGCUGAGGAGUGCGGCAGCGCGCCAGAGACUGGCGGGCAGCUCCGCCCGCGGCCGGGAUGCACUAGGCAAAGCCAGCUGGGCUCCUGAGUCCGGUGGGUACUUGGAGAACUUACUACGUCUAGCUGGAGGAUUGUAAAUGCACCAAUCAGCAUGCUGUGUCUAGCUCAAGAACUCAAGCUCCAUGAGGAGAUGUUUCAUUGUCGAGAGCAGUCAUGAUGGCCUGCACUCCACACAAUGCAACAGAGUGAAAGAGCAGGUUCUGCUUCUUUGGUGUAGUCCUGAAGCUUCCUAAGAAACUUCACAUCAGGUGAUGGAUAGGAGCAACCCUGUAAAACCAGCCUUAGACUAUUUUUCAAACAGGCUGGUGAAUUACCAGAUCUCCGUCAAGUGCAGUAACCAGUUCAAGUUGGAAGUGUGUCUUUUGAAUGCAGAAAACAAAGUCGUGGACAACCAGGCUGGGACCCAGGGCCAGCUGAAGGUGCUGGGUGCCAACCUCUGGUGGCCGUACCUGAUGCACGAACACCCCGCCUACCUGUACUCGUGGGAGGAUGGUGAUUGCUCACACCAAAGCCUUGGACCCCUCCCAGCCUGUGACCUUUGUGACCAACUCCACCUACGCAGCAGACAAGGGGGCUCUGUAUGUGGAUGUGAUCCGUGUGAACAGCUACUACUCUUGGUAUCGCAACUACGGGCACCUGGAGUUGAUUCAGCUGCAGCUGGCCGCCCAGUUUGAGAAUUGGUGUAAGACAUCACAAUCCCAUUAUUCAGAGCGCGUAUGGAGUGGAAACGCUUGUAGGGUUUCACCAGG